RNAcentral lists this ribosomal RNA (418 nucleotides) under uncultured bacterium. RNAcentral's name for it is "bacterial SSU rRNA". It matches the Rfam family "Bacterial small subunit ribosomal RNA", at positions 28 to 441 of the family's 1533-position model. The record is from RNAcentral.
GACGAACGCUGGCGGCGCGCCUAACACAUGCAAGUCGAACGAGCGAGAGAGAGCUUGCUUUCUUGAGCGAGUGGCGAACGGGUGAGUAACGCGUGAGGAACCUGCCUCAAAGAGGGGGACAACAGUUGGAAACGACUGCUAAUACCGCAUAAGCCCACAGGUCGGCAUCGACCAGAGGGAAAAGGAGCAAUCCGCUUUGAGAUGGCCUCGCGUCCGAUUAGCUAGUUGGUGAGGUAAUGGCCCACCAAGGCGACGAUCGGUAGCCGGACUGAGAGGUUGAACGGCCACAUUGGGACUGAGACACGGCCCAGACUCCUACGGGAGGCAGCAGUGGGGAAUAUUGCACAAUGGGGGAAACCCUGAUGCAGCGACGCCGCGUGGAGGAAGAAGGUCUUCGGAUUGUAAACUCCUGUUGUUG